ACUAUGAUGAUGUAACGUACUGGUGGUUCUGCGAGUUUCGAUCGUGUUUUUGAUAGUACGAGUUGUUCACUUCUUCAGAGCAGGUCGGAAACUUCAGGUCUUUCUUUCUGGAAACUCUACAAGAGUGUCAUAUCUGCUUCGAGGAAGUAAACUGGAAUGUUCACUGAAACGGUGGAACAAAGAGCGACGUACUAUCAAAAACACGUUCGAAACUCGAAGAACCACAAAUACGUCAUCCAAUAAACAUCGUGAAAGUUUAACAUUUAAAAAACUAUUACAUAUAAUCAUAAAGAUACGGUAAUAUGAUAGUUUCACAAGCUUAAUUAUUACCUCAAAUAAUUUUUUUAAACUAAACUCAUUGCCCACAGACGAGGUUAUAGCACCAGAAGAUAACACAUUCGAUAGCCUGGACACAGACGAUAGCACAGGCUCUUCCCAACGAAUUAUACGCGGCAUGUUUGGAUGUGCUCCUUCGUCUACUCUUCAAACUGCUCCAACUCCCCAAACUCGUACAGGGAAACUAGCGCAAACAUCUUAUCGACUCCGUACCAGACCAUUACCACCAGAAAGACAAUAUCUACCCAGAAUAGCUAGAAUGACACCUUGUGGAAAAUGCUUAAGAAUUUGAGGACAACAAAAUGAAAGACUAAUCGACGAAACUAAAUUGUAAUUCAUACAAAGUACAAUUACUACAUUUAGACAAAAACAUGGUCUGCUUUUUCUAGACAAAUUGUAAUCCAUAAGAUCAAUCUCGAAGAGGAUUUUUAUAUUUGAAAAUAAAACUAUUUCUUCGUCUUACGAAGAUAUUGUACAU
Bombus pascuorum is the source of this 814-nucleotide long non-coding RNA. RefSeq lists it as uncharacterized. The transcript is spliced from 3 exons. NCBI's taxonomy places the organism in Eukaryota, Metazoa, Arthropoda, Insecta, Hymenoptera, Apidae. The record is from RefSeq and is a predicted model, not a curated record.